This 331-nucleotide unclassified non-coding RNA is filed under the name soil metagenome. RNAcentral describes it as "partial contains 5.8S ribosomal RNA, internal transcribed spacer 2, and large subunit ribosomal RNA". The stretch from base 1 to 120 matches the Rfam family "5.8S ribosomal RNA", at positions 35 to 154 of the family's 154-position model. The record is from RNAcentral.
GAUGAAGAACGUAGCGAAAUGCGAUAAGUAAUGUGAAUUGCAGAAUUCAGUGAAUCAUCGAAUCUUUGAACGCACAUUGCGCCCCCUGGUAUCCCGGGGGGCAUGCCUGUUCGAGCGUCAUUUCACCACUCAAGCCUCGCUUGGUAUUGGGCAACGCGGUCCGCCGCGUGCCUCAAAUCGACCGGCUGGGUCUUCUGUCCCCUAAGCGUUGUGGAAACUAUUCGCUAAAGGGUGUUCGGGAGGCUACGCCGUAAAACAACCCCAUUUCUAAGGUUGACCUCGGAUCAGGUAGGGAUACCCGCUGAACUUAAGCAUAUCAAUAAGCGGAGGA